UUUGAUCCUGGCUCAGAUUGAACGCUGGCGGCAUGCUUUACACAUGCAAGUCGAACGGCAGCGCGGGGCAACCUGGCGGCGAGUGGCGAACGGGUGAGUAAUAUAUCGGAACGUACCCAAGAGUGGGGGAUAACGUAGCGAAAGUUACGCUAAUACCGCAUACGAUCUAAGGAUGAAAGCAGGGGAUCUUCGGACCUUGUGCUCCUGGAGCGGCCGAUAUCUGAUUAGCUAGUUGGUGAGGUAAAGGCUCACCAAGGCCACGAUCAGUAGCUGGUCUGAGAGGACGACCAGCCACACUGGAACUGAGACACGGUCCAGACUCCUACGGGAGGCAGCAGUGGGGAAUUUUGGACAAUGGGCGAAAGCCUGAUCCAGCAAUGCCGCGUGAGUGAAGAAGGCCUUCGGGUUGUAAAGCUCUUUUGUCAGGGAAGAAACGGUGAAGGCUAAUAUCCUUCGCUAAUGACGGUACCUGAAGAAUAAGCACCGGCUAACUACGUG
This 498-nucleotide ribosomal RNA is filed under the name uncultured Massilia sp. RNAcentral describes it as "bacterial SSU rRNA". It matches the Rfam family "Bacterial small subunit ribosomal RNA", at positions 12 to 507 of the family's 1533-position model. The record is from RNAcentral. Lineage: Bacteria; Pseudomonadati; Pseudomonadota; Betaproteobacteria; Burkholderiales; Oxalobacteraceae.